GUUGUAUGGUUAAGUGACUAAGCGUACACGGUGGAUGCCUUGGCAGUCAGAGGCGAUGAAAGACGUAGUAACUUGCGAUAAGCCCAGAUUAGGUAGUAACAACCAUUUGAGUCUGGGAUUUCUGAAUGGGGAAACCCACGUGCAUAAGCACGUAUCCUUACCUGAAUACAUAGGGUAAGGAGGCGAACCGGGGGAACUGAAACAUCUAAGUACCCCGAGGAAAAGAAAUCAACCGAGAUUCCGAAAGUAGCGGCGAGCGAAAUUGGACUAGCCCUUAAGCUUUACACGCGUUAGACGAACGGUCUGGAAAGUCCGACGAUACAGGGUGAUAGUCCCGUAGUUGACGACGUGUGUUCAGUGAAAUCGAGUAGGGCGGGACACGUGAUAUCCUGUCUGAAUAUGGGGGGACCAUCCUCCAAGGCUAAAUACUACUGACUGACCGAUAGUGAACCAGUACCGUGAGGGAAAGGCGAAAAGAACCCCUGUGAGGGGAGUGAAAUAGAACCUGAAACCGUGUACGUACAAGCAGUAGGAGCAGGCUUUGUCCUGUGACUGCGUACCUUUUGUAUAAUGGGUCAGCGACUUAUAUUCAGUGGCAAGGUUAACCAUCUAGGGGAGCCGUAGGGAAACCGAGUCUUAACUGGGCGUUCAGUCUCUGGAUAUAGACCCGAAACCAGGUGAUCUAGCCAUGGGCAGGUUGAAGGUUGAGUAACAUCAACUGGAGGACCGAACCGACUAAUGUUGAAAAAUUAGCGGAUGACUUGUGGCUAGGGGUGAAAGGCCAAUCAAACCUGGAGAUAGCUGGUUCUCCCCGAAAGCUAUUUAGGUAGCGCCUCGGACGAAUACUACUGGGGGUAGAGCACUGUUAAGGCUAGGGGGUCAUCCCGACUUACCAACCCUUUGCAAACUCCGAAUACCAGUAAGUACUAUCCGGGAGACACACGGCGGGUGCUAACGUCCGUCGUGGAGAGGGAAACAACCCAGACCGCCAGCUAAGGUCCCAAAUUACUACUAAGUGGGAAACGAUGUGGGAAGGCUCAGACAGCCAGGAUGUUGGCUUAGAAGCAGCCAUCAUUUAAAGAAAGCGUAAUAGCUCACUGGUCGAGUCGGCCUGCGCGGAAGAUGUAACGGGGCUAAGUAGUAAACCGAAGCUGCGGCAAUAUACUUUUGUAUAUUGGGUAGGGGAGCGUUCUGUAAGCGGUUGAAGGUGUGUGGUAACGCAUGCUGGACGUAUCAGAAGUGCGAAUGCUGACAUGAGUAACGAUAAAGGGGGUGAAAAACCUCCUCGCCGGAAGACCAAGGGUUCCUGUCCAACGUUAAUCGGGGCAGGGUAAGUCGACCCCUAAGGCGAGGCCGAAAGGCGUAGUCGAUGGGAAACGGGUUAAUAUUCCCGUACUUCUUACAAUUGCGAUGGGGGGACGGAGAAGGCUAGGUGGGCCUGGCGACGGUUGUCCAGGUUCAAGUGCGUAGGCUGAAGAGUUAGGUAAAUCCGGCUCUUUUUAAGGCUGAGACACGACGUCGAGCACCUACGGGUGUGAAGUCAUUGAUGCCAUGCUUCCAGGAAAAGCCUCUAAGCUUCAGAUUGUAAGGAAUCGUACCCCAAACCGACACAGGUGGUCGGGUAGAGAAUACCAAGGCGCUUGAGAGAACUCGGGUGAAGGAACUAGGCAAAAUGGUACCGUAACUUCGGGAGAAGGUACGCUCUUGAUGGUGAAGUCCCUUGCGGAUGGAGCUGACGAGAGUCGCAGAUACCAGGUGGCUGCAACUGUUUAUUAAAAACACAGCACUGUGCAA
RNAcentral lists this ribosomal RNA (1794 nucleotides) under Vibrio parahaemolyticus. RNAcentral describes it as "partial 23S ribosomal RNA". It matches the Rfam family "Bacterial large subunit ribosomal RNA", at positions 1 to 1828 of the family's 2925-position model. The record is from RNAcentral. Lineage: Bacteria; Pseudomonadati; Pseudomonadota; Gammaproteobacteria; Vibrionales; Vibrionaceae.